UGGGGAAUUUUGGACAAUGGGGGAAACCCUGAUCCAGCCAUCCCGCGUGUGCAAUGAAGGCCUUCGGGUUGUAAAGCACUUUUGGCAGGAAAGAAACGUCAUGGGUUAAUACCCCGUGAAACUGACGGUACCUGCAGAAUAAGCACCGGCUAACUACGUGCCAGCAGCCGCGGUAAUACGUAGGGUGCAAGCGUUAAUCGGAAUUACUGGGCGUAAAGCGUGCGCAGGCGGUUCGGAAAGAAAGAUGUGAAAUCCCAGAGCUCAACUUUGGAACUGCAUUUUUAACUACCGGGCUAGAGUGUGUCAGAGGGAGGUGGAAUUCCGCGUGUAGCAGUGAAAUGCGUAGAUAUGCGGAGGAACACCGAUGGCGAAGGCAGCCUCCUGGGAUAACACUGACGCUCAUGCACGAAAGCGUGGGGAGCAAACAGG
This 429-nucleotide ribosomal RNA is filed under the name Acidobacteriota bacterium. RNAcentral describes it as "Acidobacteria bacterium partial 16S ribosomal RNA". It matches the Rfam family "Bacterial small subunit ribosomal RNA", at positions 355 to 776 of the family's 1533-position model. The record is from RNAcentral. Lineage: Bacteria; Pseudomonadati; Acidobacteriota.